UGGAGGUCUCUUUGGUCAGAGGGGUGCUGUGAUCAGCAGAGGUUGUUUAACUGAAGCAGACAUGGGACUGAGCUGCUGUAUAAUGUCUGGCCCUUGCCCUCAGUGCAGGGAAAGCUGUGGGGACAACUGUCUUUGUGCCUGUCACAUGGACGAGCCGUGUGCGGACCGCUGCUGUAACCUGUGCUGUCAGUUCUGUCUGGACUGCUUCUGUCUCAUCUGCUCGGACGACUGCCGCUACACUCUGUGUUUCAUGUGCACCAGGAUGGCCGACUCCUGCACUGCUGUUCUGACCACCGAGCAGCCCAGAUCUACACAGAAACUAAAAGAAGGUUCUCAUCUGGAAGGAGGUCAACUGGUUUAGAUCACCUGACAUACGUAAUGGAACCUGAUGGGUUGGAUGAAGACUUGUUUCCUACUUCAUGAUGCCAUUUUUUGUACAGCAAGAGACUGAAAACUAUGAAGGAAAUGUUUUUUUUUUUACAGUGCAUUUGUAGCCCAUGAUGCAAUGUGUAUAUACAGGAUUGCACAAUUUGUAUUGCACACUGAAUACUGUAUAUUGUAGCAGCAAAUACAACUGAUUCUGUGAAUUAUCAAAGUGUCUAGAGAAUCUAUUCAAAAGUGAAAACACUUUGCACUCAUGCCAAAAAAAAACUAACAAAAAAAAUCUCAAGUAUGACUGACUUUCAGAUGACAGGCAGGAAAACUAGCAGCACUCCUAGAAGACCUCUCAGCCAAUCAGAUUUGAGGACCAGAACUAACAAAAGAUUUCAAUUUUAAAUCAAUGUGGUUCUUUAAACUUUCUGUUAAUCAAAGAAUCCUGAAAAAAAGUAAGAAAUUUAGAAGUGAAAACACUUGUGCACUCAUGCAAAAAACAAAAAAACAAACAUUUUGCUUGACAUGGUAUGCUCUAGAACAACUGACUCUCAGAGGACAGGCAGGAAAAACUUGAUUUGCACACCCUGUGGAACGCGCCGUCACAGAGGUACAGUAUUUAUAAGAAUCCACCCAGGUGUACGUCAGAUUAGCCCUGUCAACAUCACGGGAAAGACAACUUAGGUAAUUUUGAGUUAACUUGUUGAAAUUGACUUUUUAGGGUGACUUUUAAAAGGUGGAAAGAGGACAGCAGAUACAAACGAGAACUGGGACUGAAGAAGAAGAAAAGGAAGAUUAAAGAAAAAAAAAGAAGAUUCUAAACAUCUGAAGGGACUUGAAAAAGGGCCGAUCAAGGAGACUAGCCAUGGAGGAGGAUUACAAGAACCCACCACCGUCCUAUGAAGAAGUUAUUACCCAGCAGCACACGAGCAACACUAAUCAAAGCCGCUCCGCUGAUAAGACGCAGGGCUGCUGCUGCAGGUGCUGUAUAAGCACCAAGAACUGUCUGAUGAGUCCGGAGUGCGGCCGAGCUCUCAACAUCGCCAGUGUUGUUGCCAUGUGUGGCAUGUGUAUUCGAAUGUUUGUUUAACACAGUCUCUUGUGGACCAUCUAUUCCAGAUCUCUCAUCCAGCGGUGGCCUUCUCAAAUUAAAAGACAAACAAAGGCGUUUGCUCUGUUCCAAAACCUAGUGAUCUGCAACAUUUAUAAGCUCUCCCCCAAUGCGAAUCCCAGCGCUAUUCCAAAAAUAGUCGGCAGUGCAGCAUUUAUCAUUCACAGAUAAGGUAAUCCCAGAACACGUUGUGACUAAAAUUUCCAUUUAAAAUAGUAAACAGCAAUUUCAAAGUAUAAUCUAUAAAUACAAAGAAUAAUUUAAUCAGCUCUGACAAAUCUGAUUGUGAAUUGUGCCAUGUCAUAAGCCAUUUUUCAAGUCUUUAGCUUAGCAACAUGCUAACAUGAAACUCAACAGGAAUCAGCUGUGUUGACUGAGCCUCUCAUGUGCUUCAUUGGCCUCAUUCAUGAAACAGAAGCACAAUGAAUUUGUAAAUCAUUUGUAAAGUCAUUUUUAUGUAAAUUGUGGGAUUUAAUUGAAUUUGAAUGAGUGACCUCAUGCUGUCUAUGUAGAAUGUUUUAAUCACUUAAGGUGUGGUCACAUUUAUUGCGUACGUGUUUUCAAUAAGAAUGUGAUGGAUUGGGAAUUUGGCUUAAGGGCAGAGAUUUCUCCAGACUUCAAAACUGGUUCAAGUUUGUAACAAACUUGCUGCACUGACCAACAGAAAGCUGCUUUCUGUGUGAACUGUGCUUUAUACAUCACUAUACUAUUGACAAUAGUAUACUAUUGACAAGUGCAUUAGUCCACCUUUUCAGCGGCACUGGUUCCGGAAGUUUCUUUGGUAACCCUUUAUUUUAGGGUGACAUAGUUACACGUUACUACUUGUACUCACAAUAAUAACAGUAAAUUAUGCAUAAUUACAAGUACCUAACCCUAAACUGAGCCCUAACCCUAACUGUCCUAACUCUAUAGUAAGUACAUAUAGUUAAUUAAUAUUACUCAGUACUUAUUUGAGGAAGUACAAUGUAACUACAUCACCUUAAAAUAAAAUGUAACCAUUUUUCCCCCCAUUCAUAUCUCCCAUAGGGAUUUCAAAAAAAGCCUUUGUUAAAGAGUUAUACGCCAUGAACCAAACCAAUCAGCUACGACGUGAAUCACAACAUUACAAACUUUGAUUUGAAGCAAAAAAGUAUUUGAAAAUCAAACAAAAAUACAAAGGUAUAAGACUGUGUACUUAACGGCUUUAGUGAGGGAAAGAACUACAAUCCCAUGAAGUAGAGCUGCACGAUUCUGGAUAAAAUGAGAAUCACGAUUUUUUGGUUUCAAAUAGAGAUCACAAUUCUCCUGCGAUUCUGAAUAUACAACCAAACAAAAUAACAUGUAAUUUACUAGAGGUUUCAUUGCUGGAUGAAUCAGUGUUUUUGAACGAAUCUUUUGAAUGAACGAUUCAAUUACAAAUACAUUUUUUAACAGUCAGUUGUCGCCACCUAGUGGAAUUAGAUGUAAUUGAUACAACCGUUAUUUGACGUGCCAAGUUCGUUUCAAAAGUUUGCUCUAUUUUGAUCGCUAUCGUAGACAUCGGUGUUUGAAUACUAACUUAAAACUUAUAUCACAGUACUUCUGUGAUUAUGUGAAUAACACAGAAAUAACUAAUGUGUGAUUCAAAACGUCUCUCUCUGGCUCUGGCAGCACGAACAAAGAUUUGAACGUUCCGGUAUGAUUUUGUCAAAGGUUUAAUAGAUGCGGGAGAAUCGUUGUCAUUAAUAAAGUAGGAUCGCAUGGGUGCUUGAAUCGAGAUCGCGAUCUUUUUACGAUGAAUCGUGCAGCUCUACCAUGAAGCAUUGCGAACAGCAUAAUCAAAUAUCGAAUUGAAUAUAAAACUACUCAUUUAGAUUAUAUAUAAACAAUAUACUUUAAGUUUAUUUCCAAAUAUGCAUAUAUUUUCAAAUAUUUCAGUAUUUUGAGAGUGUAGGGAAUGCUUUUUAGGAGUGGGCGGAGCCAACGAGUUCUUUUGGCGCAUUUGGCCUGAUUCGGCUCUCUGAUUGGUGUAAUUUUCCGUACAAGAUCAUGGGUAAUGUAGUUUUUCUUCAGGAAUUCGAUUGUUAAAGGGUAAAUUCAACCAAAAACUGAAAUUUCUGUCAUUAAUUACUCACACUAAUAUCGUUCCACAUCCGUAAGACCUUCGGAAUCACAUUUUUGAUGAAAUCAGAGAGGUUUUAGACACUUCCGGAACCCGACCGAUGCACAUGGACAAUGGACCUUUUUUUGUUUGCAAAAUUUUGGUAUUGUGACCGCACCUUUACAGUAUGAGUUUCCAUUUUGAUUUUGAUCACUGACGGCGAAUGAAUUUAAUUUUUUUGUUAAUACUUCAAGAAGACAAUAGUGUUUAAUAAUUACACUACAGUUUAAUCUCUCUAAUCCAGAACCUAAAAUAGUCAUUUGAAAAUGUUCAUUGGAUUUCUUUUCUUUUGGAUGUGGUAUCCACCUUAAAUUAGUAUCAGGAUACCAAAACUUUGCAUUUAUCAUUACUUCUAAAAGGAAGGUGCAUUUCUUCUCAAAGAAAUCUUAAUGAAAUGUGAAUGUACUAUUUAUAAUACUGAAUUAUGUUUUAAAGGACAUGCACUAGACAGACAGGCUAAUAAGUACACAAUCAGAAAAAAAAAGUAUGCUAGAUUAUUUUCCAAACUAUGGUGGAAAUGUUCCUUUAAGACUGUAAAUUUCCACUAAAUAUUAAACCUGUACAUCGGGAGUGUGUAAAUAAGGAUCUUCUCCACUGUGGAUAUAAAACCAUCUGUCUUAUAGCCGGUAUGUCAAUAAAUACCCUUAAGUUUAGUUUAUAUACAGAUGGAAUGUUUUACCUUCAGGAGAAGUAAAUAUUUAUCUAUCUACAAUAUGUAAAAUAAUAAAGAUAUAUGCAUCUGACAUAAGCAAA
Ctenopharyngodon idella (grass carp) is the source of this 4355-nucleotide long non-coding RNA. RefSeq lists it as uncharacterized. The transcript is spliced from 5 exons. NCBI's taxonomy places the organism in Eukaryota, Metazoa, Chordata, Actinopteri, Cypriniformes, Xenocyprididae. The record is from RefSeq and is a predicted model, not a curated record.